UGCUGUGUUUGGAACAGUAUUAAUUAAAUGUACAUGAGGAAAUCAAUGGACUUGGUGAAUGAACAAUGGUAUAGAUAAUAUUGAUUGUGAAAUGGACAAAAUGUUAAACAAAAUAUGGCUUCAGGGGAAACCAGGUUUUUUUCAGGGAUUUUUAGGGCCCUUUAAACGGCCCCAAAAACUCAAUCUUGAAUUGAGUUUUGAAACUCAAUCUUCUCAUCAAAGUUUCAGUGCAGUAAAAAUGAAGUUGUUUGAGUUAUAAAAUGUUGUGACGUGUGGAAAUUAGUUUUCAGUUGGAAGCCCGACAAGCCAUCUUUAACCAGUUUAUAGUGUCCCUGUUUUAACACAUUCCGUCUCAAUUACAUUUAUUGAGUACAGGUGUCAGCCCACCGGUAGGGGGGGGGGGAUGCAGCCACCCCAACUGUUCAGCUAAACUCAAUCUUCCCUGCAAAAACGGACCCAAGAGAAAAUCCUGGAAAAAACCCUGGGAGAAACUCAAUUCACUACAACACAUUGCUGUGCUAUCAGAACUACUAUAAUUUCAGUAAAUAUACAAGUUAUUUUCUUAGAAUGAGAAUUUUUUUCUUAAACUGAGAAUGUUAGGUGUAAA
Molecule: non-coding RNA, 607 nt
Organism: Paramuricea clavata
Lineage: Eukaryota; Metazoa; Cnidaria; Anthozoa; Malacalcyonacea; Plexauridae
Source: the annotation of a GenBank genome assembly